CAUAACAACAACCCUUCACAUGAAUGACAGUGAUACACCCAUGUUACAGAUGUGGAAACUGAGGUUCUGAAAAAGUCAGGGACUUGUGCAAGGGUGC
Molecule: microRNA precursor, 97 nt
Filed under: Cricetulus griseus (Chinese hamster)
Lineage: Eukaryota; Metazoa; Chordata; Mammalia; Rodentia; Cricetidae
Description: mir-640
Source: RNAcentral